UGGGGAAUUUUGGACAAUGGGCGCAAGCCUGAUCCAGCCAUGCCGCGUGCGGGAAGAAGGCCUUCGGGUUGUAAACCGCUUUUGUCAGGGAAGAAAUCUUCUGGGUUAAUACCUCGGGAGGAUGACGGUACCUGAAGAAUAAGCACCGGCUAACUACGUGCCAGCAGCCGCGGUAAUACGUAGGGUGCAAGCGUUAAUCGGAAUUACUGGGCGUAAAGCGUGCGCAGGCGGUUUUGUAAGACAGAGGUGAAAUCCCCGGGCUCAACCUGGGAACUGCCUUUGUGACUGCAAGGCUUGAGUGCGGCAGAGGGGGAUGGAAUUCCGCGUGUAGCAGUGAAAUGCGUAGAUAUGCGGAGGAACACCGAUGGCGAAGGCAACCCCCUGGGCCUGUACUGACGCUCAUGCACGAAAGCGUGGGGAGCAAACAGGAUUAGAUACCCUGGUAGUCCACGCCCUAAACGAUGUCAACUGGUUGUUGGGAAGGUUCCUUCUCAGUAACGUAGCUAACGCGUGAAGUUGGACCGCCUGGGGAGUACGGCCGCAAGGUUGAAACUCAAA
This 558-nucleotide ribosomal RNA is filed under the name uncultured bacterium. Its description in RNAcentral is "partial 16S ribosomal RNA". It matches the Rfam family "Bacterial small subunit ribosomal RNA", at positions 355 to 905 of the family's 1533-position model. The record is from RNAcentral.